ACAAGUUCCCAGGUGAUGCUGA
This 22-nucleotide microRNA is filed under the name Eptesicus fuscus (big brown bat). RNAcentral describes it as "efu-miR-544". Its record names the gene efu-miR-544. Lineage: Eukaryota; Metazoa; Chordata; Mammalia; Chiroptera; Vespertilionidae. The record is from miRBase by way of RNAcentral.